GAGACAGGAGGAGUUAGUCCUGCUGCAAACCACGGGGGACACUUCGGGAUGCCUCAGAGAAAACAAAUCUCAGUUUUUACGCCUCGUUACUUCCUGUGUUUCUCCACGAGGACCAUGGAAGGGUAGCAGCCUUUUUGACAGGUGAAUUUUCCACCCGCUUGGCUCUUGCACUUCCCGUGAGGACCACAAACAUUGGAAGAGAUAUAGCGAACCCCUUCGGGCGUGCUGUUGGAAGCCACUGCCACGGUGCAGCUGUCAAUUACUGCAGAAAAGCAGAGACAGCAUGAGAACUACCCAUGCAACCUGAUUCCUUAAGAACAACAUUUUCACUUCCAGCCAUGGAUGUUUAGAAGACACUCAUGCCAUUGAAUCAUUUAGGUUGGAAAAGACCUUUAUGAUCAUCGAGUGAAACCAUAAACAUAUGACUGCAAAUAUGUUUGCUGCCUUAAAAUAACACUGGACUCUGCCAACUGUGCAUAAAACAAUCACAGCAUCUUAUCUGAUGAUUGAUGGAACACAUCCAUGGCCUGGAAUAAAUGCAUCACUCUAUUUGCUA
Non-coding RNA from Cyanistes caeruleus (blue tit), 556 nucleotides. NCBI's taxonomy places the organism in Eukaryota, Metazoa, Chordata, Aves, Passeriformes, Paridae. The record is from RefSeq and is a predicted model, not a curated record.